This 782-nucleotide ribosomal RNA is filed under the name uncultured Alphaproteobacteria bacterium. Its description in RNAcentral is "bacterial SSU rRNA". It matches the Rfam family "Bacterial small subunit ribosomal RNA", at positions 38 to 877 of the family's 1533-position model. The record is from RNAcentral. Lineage: Bacteria; Pseudomonadati; Pseudomonadota; Alphaproteobacteria.
GGCGGCAGGCUUAACACAUGCAAGUCGAACGAUAUAGUGGCAGACGGGUGAGUAACGCGUGGAAACGUGCCUUUCACUACGGAAUAGCUUUUGGAAACGAAAGGUAAUACCGUAUACGCCCUCCGGGGGAAAGAUUUAUCGGUGAAAGAUCGGUCCGCGUUAGAUUAGCUAGUUGGUGAGGUAAGAGCUCACCAAGGCGACGAUCUAUAGCUGGUCUGAGAGGAUGAUCAGCCACACUGGGACUGAGACACGGCCCAGACUCCUACGGGAGGCAGCAGUGGGGAAUAUUGCACAAUGGGCGCAAGCCUGAUGCAGCCAUGCCGCGUGAAUGAUGAAGGCCUUAGGGUUGUAAAAUUCUUUCGCCAAGGAUGAUAAUGACAGUACUUGGUAAAGAAGCCCCGGCUAACUUCGUGCCAGCAGCCGCGGUAAUACGAAGGGGGCUAGCGUUGUUCGGAAUUACUGGGCGUAAAGCGCACGUAGGCGGAUUUUUAAGUCAGAUGUGAAAUCCCGAGGCUCAACCUUGGAACUGCAUUUGAAACUGGGAAUCUAGAGAUCAGGAGAGGUUAGUGGAAUACCGAGUGUAGAGGUGAAAUUCGUAGAUAUUCGGUGGAACACCAGUGGCGAAGGCGACUAACUGGACUGAUACUGACGCUGAGGUGCGAAAGUGUGGGGAGCAAACAGGAUUAGAUACCCUGGUAGUCCACACCGUAAACGAUGAGAGCUAGUUGUCUGCAGGCAUGCCUGUAGGUGACGCAGCUAACGCAUUAAGCUCUCCGCCUGGG